Hypanus sabinus (Atlantic stingray) is the source of this 7591-nucleotide long non-coding RNA. RefSeq lists it as uncharacterized. NCBI's taxonomy places the organism in Eukaryota, Metazoa, Chordata, Chondrichthyes, Myliobatiformes, Dasyatidae. The transcript is spliced from 3 exons. The record is from RefSeq and is a predicted model, not a curated record.
CAGCACUAUGUGGCUGUUUAGUUUGUUUAUCUGUCUUCAUGCAUUGAUGUGCCUCACCGGCGGUGCCUGGCCAUGUCGAUGCCUCUCUGUAGUUCUGCACGUAUGUGCUUGAGGUUCUGCCUGGCUGUGGGACUCAAGGAUAAGUUAAAACUCUAAUGAACUGCUUUGGAGUUGAAAACCACAGAAAGAAAACAAAACAUUUAAUACAAGAUAUAAAUAUCAGAAAUCCUAAAUAAAGGAUGAAGCUUCUGGCUAUAUUUCAUUUGAGUGUUUGGCCCCAUGCAUUCUGGAAAAAAAGGUAGUGUUCUCUAAUCCAUGCAACAUCCUGGUGAAACUCUCUUGCAUCCUUUCCGAAUUCUUCCUGUUUUGUUCAGGAUGGCCCACAAUAUUCCAAUAUGGCCAAAACUAAAUUUUAUACAGGUGCAAUAUGACCACAAGUUUCAUGAAGACACAAGAGACUGCAGAUGCUGGAAUGUGGAUCAACAAACAAUAUUUGAUAUUUAUAUUCCACACUCUGACUAGUAAAGACAAGUAUGUAGCACACAUUCUUUGCCACCCCAAAUACUUGCGUUGCCACUUUCAGAGAGAUCAACUCCAAGCUCCCUCUAUGCUGAUUCUCGCUAUGAGUUUGCAGAGAAAUAAGUUUUCUCUCUAGGAAAUACAAAAAUCUUUAAAGAAUCAAUUUCCAAAUUUGCUUAAAUUAUCCGAAGAAUAAUCAACAUGAGAAAAACAGCAAUUUAAAAAUAUGCAGAAGAAACCGGGUUAUCCAUCCCUAUAAUUUAAUGUGAUAUUUUGAAAGAAAUAUAUAGAUGUCCAUUAACAAUUGAAAAGAUGUGCAGGGGAGCAUUGACCAUUACCUGGUGUUAUUGUUCAAAAGUUAAAUGUAUUAUCAAAGUACAAUAUUGUAUGUCACUAUAUACAACCCCAAGAUAUGUUUUCCUGCGGGCAUACUCAAUAAAUCCAAGAAACAUAACAGAAUCAAAGUUUUCGAUGUCAUGCCAAAUCUUUGCCAACUUCUAAGGAAGUGAAUAGAACACUCAGGCCUCACUGAGUGUGCAAGAGGAAUGGUGAAAGUGAUUGUGAGGUUUUACCUGUUAACAGUGAGGCUGCAUUUGGAAAGGUGAAUGUAGUCUUAGACACCUGCUCUUUAAAGAACCUCUAAAUAGAAAAUACAAAUUAAUAAAUGAAGCAAAUAUUUAUCUUGCAUCCCAGUGGUGAACAGCAAAGUCACUCUGGAAGUACAGUCACAAUAUAAACGUAAGGAAGUUAUAUAGACUUCAAAAGGGAUUUGGUGGAGUGAAUAAUGCGAAGUUGAGAAGUAAAAGUACUUUUCAACUAUCUACUACUAGAUUUACUACUACAUCUAGUACUACUACUAGCAGUCUACUACCAGCAGAUUUUAGUACACUAUGGUUACAUUUAUAAUACAGGAGUAAGAUGAGAUUUUUAAAAAAACAUAUACUCAAGCACCAGAGAUUCUGCAGAUGCUGGAAAUCCAGAGCAACACACACAAAAUGCUGGAGGAACUCAGUUGGUUUGAGAGCAUCUAUGGAGAGGAAUAACCAGACCGUUUAUUCCUCUCCAUAGAAUGUUGCCUGACUUGUUGAGUUCCUCUAGCAUUUUGUGUGUGUUGUUCCAUUUUUUAAAAAUAUAUUUAUAACAGAAAGGAAAGUAGAAUAAAUUAUGUAAUUAGUCAACAAAAAACUUCUAUGAUGAUAGUGAUGGAAGAGGAGGAAGUUGAGACUGGUUAGUUUUACCUUUCAAGCUCAAUUGUUGUCAUAGGCAUGCAAACACAGGGUAUAAAUUCCAUGAAAAUUAGCUUUUUGCAACAGUGGCACAGUGCAGAGAGAUGAGGACAGCACAAACUGGAAUUUGGGAAAAGAAAAAUAUAAUUAUGAUAACCACUGAAACUAUUGUAAUAUUUUACAAAUGUUUGGGAAAUGAAAUUGUAAUUUCAACAGUUUCAACAAACUGUUGAAAUAGAAAUUGCUGUAAUCUGUCCGACCGAAAUUUGAUGUGCUUUUCUUUUAAUAGUAAAAUUAUACCAAUUCAAUAAAACCAAGUCAAAAAUUAAAUCCAAGUCAAUAGGCUUUCUGUAUAACAUUAGUAAUUUUCUUUUUCACCAACUCUUUUGAGAUUUAUAACCGUAAGGAGCUGUGUUUUUAUGAUUAAGGUUGUUAUUGCCGGGGAGGUAGUGGGGGUAAGGUGCCACUACCUAUUAAAUGCUCACAAUGGUGUGAGUCUCAAACAGCCUCUGAAUACCAAUUCCAGCUCCUGCCCUUCACAUGUGGCUUAGCUACCAUGUCCAGCAGAACUGUUUCUACUGACUGGAGAAGGAGCAAAGGUGGGCCACUGGCACCUUAAAUCCAAUCGCUUCAGGCUUUGGGGGCUCUUCAGCCAUGGUUGGCAGCUCAUUUUGGGGAAGGAAAAUUCUGUUUCAAAGCUCUGUUGCCUUGCGACUAUACCCACUACAGGGAAGGCUUCAGGAGAAAACCCCAAGGAAAUAUCCAGAGCUGGAGUCCCUAAGACAUUGAGUUCAAUACAGACUAGCAGCUCCUGUGAUAUCACUGGUGCCAAACUGUGUCGGUCUCUGCCACUCAUUUGGAUUCAUCAGCUGCAUGGAGAUGGGCAGCCUGCUACACGAGCAACAGCUUACUCCCCAUACCGGAGUGCUGGCUUGCGUAUCCCAUGGACAACUAGGACACAAUAACCAUGGUCGACUUCGACCAGUGGAGGGCCUCAGAAAAAUGCAUGAUCAAGUAACAUUUUCAUAUUUGAAGCUUGAGAAGCUAGGACGUGCUGGGACACAUCAUCACGGAGGUAAAUUGGGGUCAUCAGGCGUUUUGGGUCUUUCAAAAUCAGACACCCUCACCUAGGCGACUCAGACAGGUUUGAUCAGGCCCUGGGUUGUGGCCCAGCAUUAUCAGUCCUUGGGUCACAUAUCUUGAUCCAUAGCCACUCUCAGAAGCCCCUGUGACGUUCUAGCUGGCUCUUCUCCUUGCAGCCCCCAUAAUAUGGUCGAGGCUUUGAAUGACUAUUUUGUGUCAGUCUUCACGCUGGACGGCAUGUCUACCAUGUCAAAGAGAGAUGGUAUGGAUGUGAUGGGAGAUGAUACAAUAGCUAUCACUAAAGAGGUAGUGCUGAGAAAACUUGUGGAUCUUAAGAUAGACAAGUCCCCUGGUCCUGAUGGAAUGCAUCUCAGGGUACUGAAAGAAAUUGUAGAGGUUAUAGUAGAGGCUUUGGUGAUAAUUUACCAAAAUUCUCGGGACUCUGGGCAGGUCCCGGUGGAUUGGAAGAAGGCAAAUGUCGCACCACUGUUCAAGAAGGAUGCAGGCAGAAGGCAGGUAACUAUAGGCCAGUUGGUUCAAUAUCUUUAGUUGGGCAAAUGCUUGAAGCUAUCAUUAAAGAAAUAGCAAGAUUUCUGGCAAGAAAUGGAUCCAUCAGGCAGACACAGCAUGGAUUCAGCAAACGCAGGUCCUGCUUUACAAGCUUACUGGAGCUCUUCAAGGAUAUAAUGAGCACAAUGGUAGAGGGUAACAGUUGGACGUUACUUACUUGGAUAUUCAGAAGGUUUUCGAUGAGGUGCCACAUAAAAGACUUCUCUAAGGAUGCAUAGAGUUGGAGUGAUUAUUAGCAUGGAUAGAGGAUUGGUUAACCAAUAGAAAGCAGGGAGUUCGGACCCAUGGGUGCUUCUCUUGGUGGCAAUCAGUGAUGAACGGUGUUCCGCAGGGAUCGGUGCUGGGCCCACAACUGUUCAUGAUGUACAUUAACGAUUUGGAAGAGGGGACCAAGUGUAGUGUAUUCAGUUUGCUGAUGACACUCAACUGAGUGGAAAAGCAAACUGCGCAGAAGAUAUAGAAAGUCUGCACAAAGAUUAUAGAUAGGGUAAGUGGAUGGGCAAGGGUCUGGCAGAUGGGGUACAAUGUUGGUAAAUGCAAGGUCACCCACUUUAGAAGGCAAAGUGUAAGAUUAGCUUAUUAUUUAAAUGGCAAAAAAUUGCAACAUGCUGCUGUGCAGAGGGACUUGGGAGUGCUUAUGCACGAAUCACAAAAGGUGGGUUUGCAGGUACAUCAGCCUAUCAAGAAGGCAAAUGUAAUGUUGGCCUUCAUUGAUAGAGGGAUUGAAUUUAAGAGCAGGGAGGUUAUGCUGCCACUAUGCAGGGUACUGCUGAGGCCACACCUGGAGUACUGCAUGCAUUUCUUGCCUCCUUACUUGAGGAAGGAUAUACUAGCUUUGGAGGCAGUGCAGACGAGGUUCACCAGGUUGAUUCCAGAGAUGAGGGGGUUAAGACUAUCAGGAGCGAUUGAAUUGCCUGGGAUUAUACUCAUAGAAACCUAGAAAACCUACAGCACAAUACAAGCCCUUCAGCCCACAAAGCUAUGCUGAACAUGUCCUUACCUAAGAAAUUACCUAGGGUUACCCAUAGCCUUCUAUUUUUCUGAGCUCCAUGUACCUGUCCAGGAGUCUCUUAAAAGACCCUAUCACAUCCACUUCUACCACUGGCUUCGGCAGCCCAUUCCACAUACUCACCACUCUCUGCGUAAAAAACAUGCCCAAUAUCUCCUCUGUACCUACUUCCAAGCACCUUAAAACUGUGCCUUCUUGUGCUAGCCAUUUCAGCCCUGGGAAAAAGCCUGUGACUAUCCACACGAUAGAUCGCUGGAAUGCAGACGGAUGAGAGGAGAUCUUGUAGAAACAUAAAAUUAUGAAAGGGAUAAAUAAGAUAGAACUAGGAAAGUUGUUUCCACUGGUAGGUGAGACUAGAUCUAGGGGACAUAGCUUCAAGAUUCAGGGCAGUAAAUUUAGGAUCAAGAUGAGGAGGAACUGCUUUUCUCAAAGAGUGGUAAAUCUGUGGAGUUCUCUGCCCAAUGAAGCAGUGGAGGCUACCUCAGUAAAUAUACUUAAGACAAGGUUGGAUAGAUUUUUGAAUAGUAGGGGAAUUAAGAGUAAUGGGGGAAAAGGCAGGUAGGUGGAAACGAGUACCUGAUUAGAUCAUCCAUGAUCUAAUUGAAUGCCGGAGCAGGCUCAAUGGGCCAGAUGGCCUAUGUCUUAUAUUCUUAUAAUGCCAAGGGGAGAGUAGGCCAGCAAAACCUCUACACCCAUCUCUAUAGCCUCACAUUGUGCCCUUCACCAGUCUGUGGUACUGCUCUAUCAGCUACUAAACAAUCAGCAGGAAGACACAUUCAAGCUUACAGGCUAUAUUAAACUAUAAGAAUUUUAAGAAUUUUCACCAUAUUUUUCCACCAUUGAAUCUUUGAAGACAAUUUAAGAUGUAUCUGGAAUAGUUUGGGAGGAGCAAGAUAGACAAAUUGUUACCUUUAUUCUCUGCCAAUGGGCAUGGUGGGGAUACUGCAGUUAAAUUACUGGACAAAUAAUUUGGAGAUUUAGCUGAACAAUCCAGUUAUUAAUCUGGAAUUUAAUAAAACAAUGAAUAGUGAUAAUGAUCACAGAAACUAUGAGAUUAAAGUAAAAUGCUGAGGAAAUGAAGUCAGUACUGAGGUUGGAAAACUUUAAUCUGCUUAAGUGAAAUGAUGUGCAGUUCAUUGAUUAAUAAAAUCAUAAGGUUUCAACAACUUUUAUAUAUAUGUAAAAGUUCAUAUAUAUGAAAAAAUUUAAUCCAAGUCAUAUGUCUAUGCCAUGUAACCAUGGAGAUUCACACACCUAAUAAUUUUCUUUAUUACUCAUCUUUUAUAAACAAAUCAGAAAUGCAUUUGCAGUGUGUGCAUACUCAAUUUCUUAUGUGGCUAACAUAUUAUACAAUACUGGUUUAAUUUAGAUCAGGGGUUCCCAACCUUUUUUAUGCCAUGGACCAAAUACCAUUAAGCAAGAAGUCAGUGGACCCCAGGUUAGGAACACUGGAUUUAGAUGCUGUGCCAAGUCUGAACAUAACCUUAGAAUAAGCAGAAUUUACCAAAGAAACGAAAUGAAAUAUUCUAAACAGCUUUCAACACCAGUGAAAGUGACAUAAAAAUAUUACAAAAUCUUGUUUUAUAUACAUUUGCACAUUUAAAAACAGUUUCAAGUUUGACAUAAUGGGUACUAAAACACAAACCAAUCAUAACUAUUACAUUUUAAAAACUGUCACAUUGAACUCAGUCAACAGAAUAGUGCAUUUGUAAGAUAAACGAAACUCUAGAUCGAUAACACAAUCCAUCCCUGUAUAAGCAGGAAAGGGUAUGUCAAAACCAUAGUGCGCAUCAUUAUCCCUGAUUUUAUAAUGGGUCUUCAGAAAAACACCAAUACACACUACUUGCCUUCAUCCUAUUGUUCUUCGAACAUUUCUAUUCAAGUACUGAUUCAACUCUAGCUGGCUAUGUUCACUUAAGUUUAAUGAUAAACACCAAAAACAUCUGUGCCUUGACUUUCAUCUGGCCAUAAACAACUGAAGUAAUGAUUAUUUGAUGAUUUCCCAUUUAAACCUGAUUCUGAUUUUCAAUAUUUAAAACUCAACAUUAAUGAAACUCUUGUAGUAAUAGAUACAGGAAAUGAAGGCCAACUAUAGUCUUCACAUAUAGGAUCUAACAGCGCAGAAUAACUGGAUCGUGAUUAAGAAAUAAUUCAGUCCUAAUUCAAGUCAAAAUUGUCAUUUUUAUACUUCCCAAGUAUAAUUUUUUUACAUCAAGGUUUAUAAUGGAAAAUGCAAGUUGUAAUUUGUCACACUGGAACAGCGUCCUCCUGACAAGAACUACUGAAUGAAGCAACACACACAAAAUGCUGGUGGAACGCAGCAGGUCAGGCAGCAUCUACAGGAAGAAGCGCUGUCGACGUUUCGGGACGAGACCCUUCGUCAGGUCCUGAAACCUCGACAGUGCUUCUCCCUAUAGAUGCUGCCUGGCCUGCUGCGUUCCACCAGCAUUUUGUGUGUGUAGCUUGAAUUUCCAGCAUCUGCAGAUUUCCUCAUGUUUGCCUUUUAAAUUCACCACUGAAUGAAGGUUGUAUUUAGAAUAUGACAGCAUGCCUAGGUAAUUUCUAUCAUAAAUAGUAAUGUAGCAAGUUAUGAUUGAAGUAUUUUUAACUAAACAUAUAGAGAGAAUGGAAUUGAUUUUUACAUUAUAAGUUGGCAGCAUUGAAAAUAUUUAAUAAAGAUCAUUGAGUAAAUACCAUUUACUCAAAUGGAUUAGUGUAGGUAUUAAUAGAUACAAGAAUUCAUUUCAUUUUACAUUUAUAUCUUAUUUCUUCCAAAUAACUGAACAUCAUGACUUAAAUGUAGAAGAUACUUCAAAAGUUGUUAUCUCUAGGAAUAAAUAGUUUCACAUUCAUUCUCACUGCAGUAUCAGACCAGUCAAAAGUGUGACACAGUAACGUAUCAAUUACAACGCCGGCGAUCACCCAUCCCGAGUUCGAUUCCCAAGCUGUCUGUAAGCAGUUUGUACAUUCUCCCCUUGCCCACGUGGGUUUCUUCCCACAAUCUAAAGAUGUAUGGUUAGGGUUAGUCAGUUACUUGUGGGCAUAACAUGUUGGUACUGGAAACGUGGCAAUCCUUGUGAGCUGCAUAAUUCACAGACCGUGUUGCUUGUUAAUGCAAAAUGAUGCACUUCCUUGUGUCUUUUGAUGUACAUGUAACAAAUAAAGCUAAUAUUUUAUCUCCUAA